Small nuclear RNA from Dipodomys ordii (Ord's kangaroo rat), 141 nucleotides. NCBI's taxonomy places the organism in Eukaryota, Metazoa, Chordata, Mammalia, Rodentia, Heteromyidae. The record is from Ensembl.
GUGUUGUAUGAAAGGAGAGAAGGUUAGCAUUCCCCUUGACAAGGAUGGAAGAGGCCCUUGGGCCUGACAACACGCAUACGGUUAAGGCAUUGCCACCUACUUCAGUCUACAUGCUAGAUCUCACUUAAAUCCAAGCUUUCA